AUUGAACGCUGGCGGCAGGCCUAACACAUGCAAGUCGAGCGCGAAAGCUCUUCGGAGUGAGUAGAGCUGCGGACGGGUGAGUAACGCGUAGGAAUCUACCCAGUAGUGGGGGACAACUUGGGGAAACUCAAGCUAAUACCGCAUACGCCCUAUGGGGGAAAGCGGGGGACCUUCGGGCCUCGUGCUAUUGGAUGAGCCUGCGUUGGAUUAGCUAGUUGGUGGGGUAAAGGCCCACCAAGGCGACGAUCCAUAGCUGGUCUGAGAGGAUGAUCAGCCACACUGGGACUGAGACACGGCCCAGACUCCUACGGGAGGCAGCAGUGGGGAAUAUUGCGCAAUGGGCGAAAGCCUGACGCAGCCAUGCCGCGUGUGUGAAGAAGGCCCUA
This 386-nucleotide ribosomal RNA is filed under the name uncultured Gammaproteobacteria bacterium. Its description in RNAcentral is "bacterial SSU rRNA". It matches the Rfam family "Bacterial small subunit ribosomal RNA", at positions 30 to 419 of the family's 1533-position model. The record is from RNAcentral. Lineage: Bacteria; Pseudomonadati; Pseudomonadota; Gammaproteobacteria.